AGUGAACGCUGGCGGUAGGCCUAACACAUGCAAGUCGAACGGCAGCACAGUAAGAUCUUGCUCUUACGGGUGGCGAGUGGCGGACGGGUGAGGAAUACAUCGGAAUCUACUUUUUCGUGGGGGAUAACGUAGGGAAACUUACGCUAAUACCGCAUACGACCUACGGGUGAAAGCAGUGGAUCUUCGGACCUUGCGCGAUUGAAUGAGCCGAUGUCGGAUUAGCUAGUUGGCGGGGUAAAGGCCCACCAAGGCGACGAUCCGUAGCUGGUCUGAGAGGAUGAUCAGCCACACUGGAACUGAGACACGGUCAAGGCUCCUACGGGAGGCAGCAGUGGGGAAUAUUGGACAAUGGGCGCAAGCAUGAUCCAGCCAUACCGCGUGGGUGAAGAAGGCCUUCGGGUUGUAAAGCCCUUUUGUUGGGAAAGAAAAGCAGCAGGUUAAUACCCCGCUGUUCUGACGGUACCCAAAGAAUAAGCACCGGCUAACUUCGUG
This 492-nucleotide ribosomal RNA is filed under the name uncultured bacterium. Its description in RNAcentral is "partial 16S ribosomal RNA". It matches the Rfam family "Bacterial small subunit ribosomal RNA", at positions 29 to 507 of the family's 1533-position model. The record is from RNAcentral.